This 669-nucleotide ribosomal RNA is filed under the name Pseudomonas nitroreducens. Its description in RNAcentral is "bacterial SSU rRNA". It matches the Rfam family "Bacterial small subunit ribosomal RNA", at positions 1 to 673 of the family's 1533-position model. The record is from RNAcentral. Lineage: Bacteria; Pseudomonadati; Pseudomonadota; Gammaproteobacteria; Pseudomonadales; Pseudomonadaceae.
UAGAGUUUGAUCAUGGCUCAGAUUGAACGCUGGCGGCAGGCCUAACACAUGCAAGUCGAGCGGAUGAAGAGAGCUUGCUCUCUGAUUUAGCGGCGGACGGGUGAGUAAUGCCUAGGAAUCUGCCUGAUAGUGGGGGAUAACGUUCCGAAAGGAACGCUAAUACCGCAUACGUCCUACGGGAGAAAGCAGGGGACCUUCGGGCCUUGCGCUAUCAGAUGAGCCUAGGUCGGAUUAGCUAGUUGGUGAGGUAAUGGCUCACCAAGGCUACGAUCCGUAACUGGUCUGAGAGGAUGAUCAGUCACACUGGAACUGAGACACGGUCCAGACUCCUACGGGAGGCAGCAGUGGGGAAUAUUGGACAAUGGGCGAAAGCCUGAUCCAGCCAUGCCGCGUGUGUAAAGAAGGUCUUCGGAUUGUAAAGCACUUUAAGUUGGAGGGAAGGGCAGUAAGUUAAUACCUUGCUGUUUUGACGUUACCGACAGAAUAAGCACCGGCUAACUUCGUGCCAGCAGCCGCGGUAAUCCAAGGUGCAAGCGUUAAUCGGAAUUACUGGGCGUAAAGCGCGCGUAGGUGGUUCGUUAAGUUGGAUGUGAAAGCCCCGGGCUCAACCUGGGAACUGCAUCAAAACUGGCGAGCUAGAGUCCGGGAUAGGGUGGGUGGAAUUUCCUG